Molecule: ribosomal RNA, 478 nt
Filed under: Ilyonectria sp.
Lineage: Eukaryota; Fungi; Ascomycota; Sordariomycetes; Hypocreales; Nectriaceae
Description: eukaryotic LSU rRNA
Rfam family: 5.8S ribosomal RNA (bases 114-267)
Source: RNAcentral
GUGAACAUACCUAUUUGUUGCCUCGGCGGUGCCUGUUCCGACAGCCCGCCAGAGGACCCCAAACCCUGAUUACAUUUAAGAAGUCUUCUGAGUAAACCGAUUAAAUAAAUCAAAACUUUCAACAACGGAUCUCUUGGUUCUGGCAUCGAUGAAGAACGCAGCGAAAUGCGAUAAGUAAUGUGAAUUGCAGAAUUCAGUGAAUCAUCGAAUCUUUGAACGCACAUUGCGCCCGCUAGUAUUCUGGCGGGCAUGCCUGUCCGAGCGUCAUUUCAACCCUCAAGCCCCCGGGCUUGGUGUUGGGGAUCGGCGAGCCUCCGCGCCCGCCGUCCCCUAAAUCUAGUGGCGGUCUCGCUGUAGCUUCCUCUGCGUAGUAGCACACCUCGCACUGGGAAACAGCGCGGCCACGCCGUUAAACCCCCAACUUCUGAACGUUUGACCUCGGAUCAGGUAGGAAUACCCGCUGAACUUAAGCAUAUCA